This 2421-nucleotide long non-coding RNA is filed under the name Citrus sinensis (sweet orange). RNAcentral's name for it is "long non-coding RNA (CSIN_LNC001062)". Lineage: Eukaryota; Viridiplantae; Streptophyta; Magnoliopsida; Sapindales; Rutaceae. The record is from RNAcentral.
ACAGCAGCAAAUGAAGCCCAAAACACUAUAAAAAUUUAACCAAAAACAGCAGCAAAUCAUCCCAAAUACAGCAGAAAAUUUAUCCAAAAACAGCAAAAAAUUUAACAGAAAAACAGCAGUAUAUUUACCCAGAAAUAGCAAAAUAUUUAGCCUAGAACCAGUAGCAAAUGAAGCCCAAAACACCAGAAAAAAUUAACUGGAAAUAGCAAAAAAUAUAGACCCAAAAAAUUUAACAGAAAAACAGCAGUAUAUUUACCCAGAAAUAGCAAAAUAUUUAGCCUAGAACCAGUAGCAAAUGAAGCCCAAAACACCAGAAAAAAUUAACUGGAAAUAGCAAAAAAUAUAGACCAAAAACAGCAGUAAAUUUAUCUAAAAACAGCAGAAAAAUAAACUAAAAAAUAGCAGCCAAUUUACCCAGAAAUAGCAGAAAAUUUAACCUAAAAACAGCAGCAAAUGAAGCCCAAAACACAAGAAAAAUUUAACCAAAAACAGCAGCAAAUCAUCCCAAAUACAGCAGAAAAUUUGGCCAUAAACAAAAGCAUAUCAAACCCAAAAUUUUUGCUUUCAUGGUAAAAUGAGUUAAAAAAGCUGAUAUAAUGAACCUUGCGGUCAAAUGUCAAAUCUGACUACUUUGAACGAACUAAAGGCCAACAAUGAAAAUUUUACAUAAAAGCAACCAGAAUACCAACAAAAUAGCUUAAAUUAAAAGUUUUUUGACUUGUUCAGGAGAGACAUCAACAAUUUCCAAAACUUUUUGCUGGACCUCACCUUUAUAAAUUAUCAAAACUUCUGCCACCAAUCUGACAUCACAGAAAAACAAGCAACACCACAUUUAAUUAAGUUAUAAAAAAACUUCAAGAUUUGCAGAUUCCGGGAUAUAAUAAGAAACCAAUCAUAGAACAUGUCAUAAGCAAGGGCUCAAGUAGAGGAAAGAUCUUAAAUGCCUCAAUGUGAUGAUAAUCAUCAUGAAACAAUAUCAACAGAUGUGAUCUAGGGACACAUCUCAUAUAAAAACCUUCAAACAAUAUUAAUAUAAGCGAUAGAUCAUAUAAAAUAAAUAACUUCAUAACAAAAGAGUUUACAUUAGGGGUUAAAAAAAAAAAAAGGUACUGAGGCUAAACCCUGACCUCUGGUUACCGCACUUUCAUUUGUGUGUAAAGUCUCCCAAAUUCUUUAGUCAUGGCGUAAUAGAUUCUCUUAUAUAUAUAAUGAAUAAUGUUGUUAACAGAAGCCCCUGAACUUAGAAUUACUUCCAGUUCUUUAUAUUCUUAGUUCUAAUAAGGCAAGAGUGAGUUUUGGUAUAUCUAAUGGGAUAUAGAAAGGUAUUUACCCCCAUUUUAUCUAGCAACUUCAAAACCUGGUAAGUCUCUCGCAAAACCUGAAUUUAGAUGGAUGGACUUCAAAUUAAUCCUAAUAAAUUUUUUAAAAAAUGGAAAGAAAAAUUGAGUAACUGCGGCAAAAUUAUGCAAAGAAAUUAAACUGGCUGAGAAGAUGGAGCAACUUAAAUGUGCUUGAUGUAGCAAAUUAAAUGAUUGGACUAAGAUACUUGAUUCCCCAAAAGUCAGUGUCUUCAAAGUGUUGAAACUUGAAAGGAAAACACAACCCUUCACUCAAAACAAAGACCUGGAAUGACUAAGAUAGAAUUUCAUACACAUGAAAGAAAUUACGAGGGCUAAUUUGCUUUUCUAAUAAUCUCUUUCUUAAUGAUGGCAUUUUGACUUGUGUGGGAAUGAAGUGGGAACAAUGAUGAUGAUGGGGACAAUAAUGGGAAGAGGACAUGAUUAUUGAUGUUGGCUUAAUUCUGCGGGCAUUGAGAGUUAAAAGAAGAGAGAGAGAGAUGAUGAAAAAAUAGAAAAUUCAUUCUAUAGUUUCUGUGCUCCUCUCUCUCUCUCUCACAUCAUGCCAGAGGACGAAAACAGAGUAAAGAUGCAAAAUUGUGCACAGAAGGAAUAUUAUAUCAGAUAAUAUAAAAUUGAAUGAGAGAUCUGGAACUAAAUUGCUUAGCAUAACAUGAAACCUUCGACUCUUCAAAGUUGGAAGCCAAGGAUUAACUUACCUUGCACAAGUGAUGAUGAACAAACCAGGACAGAGACAGCAACAACAGAGACGCAGCAGUUGGAAGGCAGAAAAUUGGCUCAAGGAUGGCUACAAUCUACCGGUGCACACGAACGAAAGUUUACGCAGGGGUGGGUGUGGCUUUCGUUUGCAAUUCAUUGAUUAGGGAUUGAAUUUUCCCUUUAUAUUAUAUUAUUCUUGUAAUGGGCAAACCCCCUUUCUUUAAUUUUAAACCGGUAAAAUUUUACUUUUAAAAUAAUAUUUAACCGACUUGUAACCGGUUAUAUGUAAUUUAAUCAAUUUCUUUUAUUGAAUUAUAAUUAUUUAGAAUCGUUAAUUUAAUUUAACGGUCCACGUCCAUUACGG